This 506-nucleotide ribosomal RNA is filed under the name uncultured bacterium. RNAcentral describes it as "partial 16S ribosomal RNA". It matches the Rfam family "Bacterial small subunit ribosomal RNA", at positions 30 to 523 of the family's 1533-position model. The record is from RNAcentral.
AUUGAACGCUGGCGGCAGGCCUAACACAUGCAAGUCGAACGGUAGCACAGAGGAGCUUGCUCCUUGGGUGACGAGUGGCGGACGGGUGAGUAAUGUCUGGGAAACUGCCCGAUGGAGGGGGAUAACUACUGGAAACGGUAGCUAAUACCGCAUAACGUCUUCGGACCAAAGUGGGGGACCUUCGGGCCUCACACCAUCGGAUGUGCCCAGAUGGGAUUAGCUAGUAGGUGGGGUAAUGGCUCACCUAGGCGACGAUCCCUAGCUGGUCUGAGAGGAGGACCGGCCAAACUGGAACUGAGACACGGUCCAGACUCCUACGGGAGGCAGCAGUGGGGAAUAUUGCACAAUGGGCGCAAGCCUGAUGCAGCCAUGCCGCGUGUAUGAAGAAGGCCUUCGGGUUGUAAAGUACUUUCAGCGGGGAGGAAGGCGGUGAGGUUAAUAACCUUGCCGAUUGACGUUACCCGCAGAAGAAGCACCGGCUAACUCCGUGCCAGCCGCCGCCGUAA